AGAGUUUGAUCCUGGCUCAGGAUGAACGCUAGCGGCAGGCUUAACACAUGCAAGUCGAGGGGCAGCGGGGAGGAAGCUUGCUUUCUCCGCCGGCGACCGGCGCACGGGUGAGUAACACGUAUGCAACCUGCCCCUGUCAGGGGGACAACCCGCCGAAAGGCGGGCUAAACCCGCGUACAUGCCACCGGGGCAUCCCGGAGGCAGGAAAGGCUUCGGCCGGACAGGGAUGGGCAUGCGGCGCAUUAGGCAGUAGGCGGGGUAACGGCCCACCUAACCGACGAUGCGUAGGGGUUCUGAGAGGAAGGUCCCCCACACUGGUACUGAGACACGGACCACACUCCUACGGGAGGCAGCAGUGAGGAAUAUUGGUCAAUGGUCGGGAGACUGAACCAGCCAAGCCGCGUGAGGGAGGAAGGUACAGAGUAUCGUACACCUCUUUUGUCCGGGAACAAAGACGGGGACGCGUCCCCCAGAUGAGUGUACCUGAAGAAAAAGCAUCGGCUAACUCCGUGCCAGCAGCCGCGGUAAUACGGAGGAUGCGAGCGUUAUCCGGAUUUAUUGGGUUUAAAGGGUGCGCAGGCGGUCUGUUAAGUCAGCGGUCAAAGCCCGGGGCUCAACCCCGGCCCGCCGUUGAAACUGGCAGUCUCGAGUUGGAGAGAAGUAUGCGGAAUGCGCGGUGUAGCGGUGAAAUGCAUAGAUAUCGCGCAGAACUCCGAUUGCGAAGGCAGCAUGCCGGCUCCACACUGACGCUGAGGCACGAAAGCGUGGGUAUCGAACUGGCUUAGUUACCCUGGUAGUCCACGCAGUAAACGAUGAAUGCUGGCUGUCCGGGGGGACUGACCCCUGGGUGGCGAAGCGAAAGCGAUAAGCAUUCCACCUGGGGAGUACGCCGGCAACGGUGAAACUCAAAGGAAUUGACGGGGGCCCGCACAAGCGGAGGAACAUGUGGUUUAAUUCGAUGAUACGCGAGGAACCUUACCCGGGCUCAAACGGGGAGUGGCGCAGGCAGAGACGCCUGUUUCCCACGGGACACUCCCCGAGGUGCUGCAUGGUUGUCGUCAGCUCGUGCCGUGAGGUGUCGGCUUAAGUGCCAUAACGAGCGCAACCCCCGCGUGCAGUUGCUAACAGUCAACGCUGAGGACUCUGCACGGACUGCCGGCGCAAGCCGCGAGGAAGGCGGGGAUGACGUCAAAUCAGCACGGCCCUUACGUCCGGGGCGACACACGUGUUACAAUGGGUGGUACAGCGGGAAGCCAGGCGGCGACGCCGAGCGGAACCCGAAAUCCACUCUCAGUUCGGAUCGGAGUCUGCAACCCGACUCCGUGAAGCUGGAUUCGCUAGUAAUCGCGCAUCAGCCAUGGCGCGGUGAAUACGUUCCCGGGCCUUGCACACACCGCCCGUCA
Molecule: ribosomal RNA, 1403 nt
Filed under: uncultured bacterium
Lineage: Bacteria
Description: 16S ribosomal RNA
Rfam family: Bacterial small subunit ribosomal RNA
Source: RNAcentral